RNAcentral lists this ribosomal RNA (1241 nucleotides) under metagenome. RNAcentral's name for it is "bacterial LSU rRNA". It matches the Rfam family "Bacterial large subunit ribosomal RNA", at positions 1564 to 2814 of the family's 2925-position model. The record is from RNAcentral.
UGAAUACGAGAUGCUACGGCGUCGAAGCAGUGUAUGUCAGACUUCCAAGAAAAGCUCGCAAUGUCAUAAAUAAAGAAUGCCUGUACCAUAACCGACACAGGUGGGUAGGUAGAGUAUACUAAGGGGCGCGAGAUAACUCUCUCUAAGGAACUCGGCAAAAUAACUCCGUAAUUUCGGGAGAAGGAGUGCCUUCUUUAAGAAGGUUGCAAUAACAAGAUCCAAGCAACUGUUUAUCAAAAACACAGGUCUCCGCUAAGUCGUAAGACGAUGUAUGGGGGCUGACGCCUGCCCAGUGCCAGAAGGUUAAAGAAGUUGGUUAGCUUUUGCGAAGCUGAUGACUGAAGCCCUGGUGAACGGCGGCCGUAACGAUAACGGUCCUAAGGUAGCGAAAUUCCUUGUCGGGUAAGUUCCGACCCGCACGAAAGGCGUAAUGAUUUGGAUGCUGUCUCGGAGAGGGACUCGGUGAAAUAGACUUGUCUGUGAAGAUGCGGACUACCUGCACCAGGACAGAAAGACCCUAUGAAGCUUUACUGUAACUUGAAAUUGAAAUUGGACUUUAUUUGCGCAGUAUAGGUGGAAGGCGUUGAAAGUAAUCUUGCGGGAUUAGUGGAGCCAUCAGUGAGAUACCACUCCUAUAAUGUUAGAUUUCUAACUUUGGAUCAUGAUCUGGUCAAAGAACAGUUUCAGGCGGGCAGUUUGACUGGGGCGGUCGCCUCCCAAAUGGUAACGGAGGCGUACAAAGGUUUCCUCUGAACGGGUAGAAAUCGUAUCUAGAGUGUAAAGGCAUAAGGAAGCUUGACUGUGAGACCUACAAGUCGAGCAGGGACGAAAGUCGGUCUUAGUGAUCUGACGGUGCUGAGUGGAAAGGCCGUCACUCAACGGAUAAAAGUUACUCUAGGAUAACAGGCUGAUCUCCCCCAAGAGUUCACAUCGACGGGGAGGUUUGGCACCUCGAUGUCGGCUCAUCGCAUCCUGGGGCGGUAGUACGUCCCAAGGGUUGGGCUGUUCGCCCAUGAAAGCGGUACGCGAGCUGGGUUCAGAACGUCGUGAGACAGUUCGGUCCAUAUCCGGUGUAGGCGUUAGAAUAUUGAGAGGAGCCUUCUUUAGUACGAGAGGACCGAGAAGGACAUACCUCUGGUGUACCAGUUAUCGUGCCAACGGUAAACGCUGGGUAGCUAUGUAUGGAGAGGAUAACCGCUGAAAGCAUCUAAGUGGGAAGCCCACCUCAAGAUGAGUAUUCC